GACGAACGCUGGCGGCGUGCUUAACACAUGCAAGUCGAACGGAAAGGCCCUGCUUUUGUGGGGUGCUCGAGUGGCGAACGGGUGAGUAACACGUGAGUAACCUGCCCUUGACUUUGGGAUAACUUCAGGAAACUGGGGCUAAUACCGGAUAGGAGCUCCUGCUGCAUGGUGGGGGUUGGAAAGUUUCGGCGGUUGGGGAUGGACUCGCGGCUUAUCAGCUUGUUGGUGGGGUAGUGGCUUACCAAGGCUUUGACGGGUAGCCGGCCUGAGAGGGUGACCGGCCACAUUGGGACUGAGAUACGGCCCAGACUCCUACGGGAGGCAGCAGUGGGGAAUAUUGCACAAUGGGCGGAAGCCUGAUGCAGCAACGCCGCGUGCGGGAUGACGGCCUUCGGGUUGUAAACCGCUUUCGCCUGUGACGAAGCGUGAGUGACGGUAAUGGGUAAAGAAGCACCGGCUAACUACGUGCCAGCAGCCGCGGUGAUACGUAGGGUGCGAGCGUUGUCCCGAUUUAUUGGGCGUAAGGGCUCGUAGGUGGUUGAUCGCGUCGGAAGUGUAAUCUUGGGGCUUAACCCUGAGCGUGCUUUCGAUACGGGUUGACUUGAGGAAGGUAGGGGAGAAUGGAAUUCCUGGUGGAGCGGUGGAAUGCGCAUAUAUCAGGAGGAACACCAGUGGCGAAGGCGGUUCUCUGGGCCUUUCCUGACGCUGAGGAGCGAAAGCGUGGGGAGCGAACAGGCUUAGAUACCCUGGUAGUCCACGCUGUAAACGGUGGGUACUAGGUGUGGGGUCCAUUCCACGGGUUCCGUGCCGUAGCUAACGCUUUAAGUACCCCGCCUGGGGAGUACGGCCGCAAGGCUAAAACUCAAAGGAAUUGACGGGGCCCCGCACAAGCGGCGGAGCAUGCGGAUUAAUUCGAUGCAACGCGUAGAACCUUACCUGGGUUUGACAUGGAUCGGGAGCGCUCAGAGAUGGGUGUGCCUCUUUUGGGGUCGGUUCACAGGUGGUGCAUGGCUGUCGUCAGCUCGUGUCGUGAGAUGUUGGGUUAAGUCCCGCAACGAGCGCAACCCUUGUUCACUGUUGCCAGCACGUUAUGGUGGGGACUCAGUGGAGACCGCCGGGGUCAACUCGGAGGAAGGUGGGGAUGACGUCAAGUCAUCAUGCCCCUUAUGUCCAGGGCUUCACGCAUGCUACAAUGGCUGGUACAGAGAGUGGCGAGCCUGUGAGGGUGAGCGAAUCUCGGAAAGCCGGUCUCAGUUCGGAUUGGGGUCUGCAACUCGACCUCAUGAAGUCGGAGUCGCUAGUAAUCGCAGAUCAGCAACGCUGCGGUGAAUACGUUCCCGGGGCU
Molecule: ribosomal RNA, 1345 nt
Filed under: uncultured bacterium
Lineage: Bacteria
Description: bacterial SSU rRNA
Rfam family: Bacterial small subunit ribosomal RNA
Source: RNAcentral